Molecule: ribosomal RNA, 174 nt
Filed under: uncultured Bacteroidota bacterium
Lineage: Bacteria; Pseudomonadati; Bacteroidota
Description: uncultured Bacteroidetes bacterium partial 16S ribosomal RNA
Rfam family: Bacterial small subunit ribosomal RNA
Source: RNAcentral
ACUCCUACGGAAGACAGCAGUNAGGAAUAUUGGGCAAUGGAGCCAACUCUGACCCAGCCAUGCCGCGUGCAGAAACACUGCCCUAUGGGUUGUAAACUGCUUUUAUACAGGAAGAAACAGCUCUACGUGUAGAGUCCUUGACGGUACUGUAAGAAUAAGCAUCGGGCUAACUCC